RNAcentral lists this ribosomal RNA (497 nucleotides) under uncultured bacterium. RNAcentral describes it as "partial 16S ribosomal RNA". It matches the Rfam family "Bacterial small subunit ribosomal RNA", at positions 28 to 507 of the family's 1533-position model. The record is from RNAcentral.
GAUGAACGCUGGCGGCGUGCCUAAUACAUGCAAGUCGAGCGAACGGACGAGAAGCUUGCUUCUCUGAUGUUAGCGGCGGACGGGUGAGUAACACGUGGAUAACCUACCUAUAAGACUGGGAUAACUUCGGGAAACCGGAGCUAAUACCGGAUAAUAUUUUGAACCGCAUGGUUCAAAAGUGAAAGACGGUCUUGCUGUCACUUAUAGAUGGAUCCGCGCUGCAUUAGCUAGUUGGUAAAGUAACGGCUUACCAAGGCAACGAUGCAUAGCCGACCUGAGGGGGUGAUCGGCCACACUGGAACUGAGACACGGUCCAGACUCCUACGGGAGGCAGCAGUAGGGAAUCUUCCGCAAUGGGCGAAAGCCUGACGGAGCAACGCCGCGUGAGUGAUGAAGGUCUUCGGAUCGUAAAACUCUGUUAUUAGGGAAGAACAUAUGUGUAAGUAACUGUGCACAUCUUGACGGUACCUAAUCAGAAAGCCACGGCUAACUACGUG